This 248-nucleotide ribosomal RNA is filed under the name uncultured Actinomycetales bacterium. Its description in RNAcentral is "partial 16S ribosomal RNA". It matches the Rfam family "Bacterial small subunit ribosomal RNA", at positions 81 to 334 of the family's 1533-position model. The record is from RNAcentral. Lineage: Bacteria; Bacillati; Actinomycetota; Actinomycetes; Actinomycetales.
CAGGGGUACUCGAGUGGCGAACGGGUGAGUAACACGUGGGUGAUCUGCCUUGCACUCUGGGAUAAGCUUGGGAAACUGGGUCUAAUACCGGAUAGGAACCGUCUUUAGUGUGGUGGUUGGAAAGUUUUUCGGUGGGGGAUGGGCUCGCGGCCUAUCAGUUUGUUGGUGAGGUAGUGGCUCACCAAGGCGAUGACGGGUAGCCGGCCUGAGAGGGCGACCGGCCACACUGGGACUGAGACACGGCCCAG